UCCCUGACAGUCCAGUGGUUAAGACGCCACACUUCCAAUGUAGGAGACACAAGUUCAAACCCUGGUUGGGGAA
RNAcentral lists this transfer RNA (73 nucleotides) under Bos taurus (domestic cattle). It matches the Rfam family "tRNA". Rfam says of the family: Transfer RNA (tRNA) molecules are approximately 80 nucleotides in length. RNAcentral also lists the same sequence under 5 other names. Lineage: Eukaryota; Metazoa; Chordata; Mammalia; Artiodactyla; Bovidae. The record is from Rfam by way of RNAcentral.